This 84-nucleotide transfer RNA is filed under the name Actinomycetota bacterium. RNAcentral describes it as "tRNA-Leu". It matches the Rfam family "tRNA". Rfam says of the family: Transfer RNA (tRNA) molecules are approximately 80 nucleotides in length. Their secondary structure includes four short double-helical elements and three loops (D, anti-codon, and T loops). Lineage: Bacteria; Bacillati; Actinomycetota. The record is from RNAcentral.
GCCGGGAUGGCGAAAUCGGGAUACGCGAUGGCUUCAAAAUCCAUUGUCCGAAAGGACGUGCGGGUUCGAAUCCCGCUCCCGGCA